AUGCGAAAAGUAGUGUGAAUUGCAGAAUUCAGUGAAUCAUCGAAUCUUUGAACGCACAUUGCGCCCCUUGGUAUUCCAUGGGGCAUGCCUGUUCGAGCGUCAUUUUGUACCCUCAAGCACUGCUUGGUGUUGGGCGUUUGUCCUGCAAAGGACUCGCCUGAAAGCGAUUGGCGGCCAACGUACUGGUGGUAGAGCGCAGCACAAUUUGCGUCUCUCCCUGCUACGUCGGCGUCCAUGAAGCCCAUUUUCAACGUUUGACCUCGGAUCAGGUAGGGAUACCCGCUGAACUUAA
RNAcentral lists this unclassified non-coding RNA (292 nucleotides) under uncultured Pyrenochaetopsis. Its description in RNAcentral is "partial contains 5.8S ribosomal RNA, internal transcribed spacer 2, and large subunit ribosomal RNA". The stretch from base 1 to 102 matches the Rfam family "5.8S ribosomal RNA", at positions 53 to 154 of the family's 154-position model. Lineage: Eukaryota; Fungi; Ascomycota; Dothideomycetes; Pleosporales; Cucurbitariaceae. The record is from RNAcentral.